UGCUGGUCUCUAAGAUUAAGCCAUGCAUGUGCAAGUACAAGCCGCAUUAAGGCUAAACCGCGAACGGCUCAUUAAAUCGGCUAUGUUUCGUUGGAUCUGGUAGCCCCAAUUACUUGGAUAACUGUGGCAAUUCUAGAGCUAAUACAUGCAUCAAGUCUCCAACCGCAAGGGAAGAGCGCUUUUAUUAGUAUCUAAACUGGUCGGGCCACACGGCCUUUUAAACCACCUGUGAUGAGUCUGAGUAACUUUUCGCUGAGCGCACGGUCUCUGCACUGGCGCCGCGUCUUUCGAGUGUCCGCCUUAUCAGCUGUCGAUUGUAAGCUAUGCGCCUACAGUGGCGGUGACGGGUAACGGGGAAUCAGGGUUCGAUUCCGGAGAGGGAGCCUGAGAAACGGCUACCACAUCUAAGGAAGGCAGCAGGCACGCAAAUUACCCACUCCUGGCACGGGGAGGUAGUGACGAAAAAUAACGAUGCGAGACUCAUCCGAGGCCUCGUAAUCGGAAUGAGUACACUUUAAAUCCUUUAACGAGGAUCGAUUGGAGGGCAAGUCUGGUGCCAGCAGCCGCGGUAAUUCCAGCUUCAAUAGCGUAUAUUAAAGUUGCUGCGGUUAAAAAGCUCGUAGUUAGCUUUUUGGUUCCGGUGUGACGGGGGACACCACUGUGUGUGCUUACGGUCACGAUCCGGACAUCUACACCCAUGCCGGCUGGCACGAGGUGCUUCUCACAGGGUGUCGCGAGUGGCCGGUACGUUUACUUUGAAUAAAUUAGAGUGCUCAGAGCAGGCUACAUGAAAAGCCUGAACAAAUCCGCAUUGAAUAAUGAAAUAAGACCUCGGUUCCGCUUUUGGCUAGUUUUCGGAACCUGAGGUAAUGAUUAACGGAAACUGAUGGGGGCAUUCGUACUGAGACGCUAGAGGUGAAAUUCUUGGACCGUCGCAAGACGAACAACUGCGAAGGCAGUUGCCAGGCAUGUUUUCGUUAAUCAAGAACGAAAGUUAGAGGUUCGAAGGCGAUCAGAUACCGCCCUAGUUCUAACCAUAAACGAUGCCAACUAGCGAUCCGCCGGCGUUAUUCCCAUGACCCAGCUGGCAGCCUCCGGGAAACCAAAGUUUUUGGGUUCCGGGGGUAGUACGAUUGCAAAGUUGAAACUUAAAGGAAUUGACGNAAGGGCACCACCAGGAGUGGAGCUUCGGCUUAAUUUGACUCAACACGGAAACCUCACCAGGCCCAGACACCGGAAGGAUUGACAGAUUGAGAGCUCUUUCUCGAUUCGGUGGGUGGUGGUGCAUGGCCGUUCUUAGUUGGUGGAGCGAUUUGUCUGGUUAAUUCCGAUAACGAACGAGACUCUGGCCUAUUAACUAGUCGACGGAUCUCCAAAAAUUGGUGUCCAGUUCGCAACUUCUUCUUAGAGGGAUAAGCGGCAAUUCUAGCCGCACGAGACUGAGCAAUAACAGGUCUGUGAUGCCCUUAGAUGUUCUGGGCAGCACGCGCGCUACACUGAAGGGCUCAAAGUGUUCUCCCCCUCCGAGAGGAGCGGGUAACCAGUUCAAAGCCCUUCAUGAUAGGGAUUGGGGCUUGCAAUUCUUUCGCAUGAACGAGGAAUUCCUAGUAAGUGCAAGUCAUCAGCUUGCGCUGACUACGUCCCUGCCCUUUGUACACACCGCCCGUCGCUACUACCGAUUGAAUGAUUUAGUGAGGCCUUCGGACUGGCUCUCUUGGAUGUUCGAACCCUAUCUGCGCCUUGGCGCACCCGGGGUUCUCGCCUCGAGAUGACGGAAAGAUGUCCAAACUUGAUCAUUUAGAGGAAAGUAAAAGUCGUAACAAGGUUU
Molecule: ribosomal RNA, 1828 nt
Filed under: Gramastacus insolitus
Lineage: Eukaryota; Metazoa; Arthropoda; Malacostraca; Decapoda; Parastacidae
Description: SSU rRNA
Rfam family: Eukaryotic small subunit ribosomal RNA
Source: RNAcentral